UGGGGAAUAUUGGACAAUGGGGGAAACCCUGAUCCAGCGAUGCCGCGUGAGUGAAGAAGGCCUUCGGGUCGUAAAGCUCUUUAGGUUGGGAAGAAGGUUGUGAGGGUAAUAUCCUUGCAAUUUGACGGUACCGACAGAAUAAGCACCGGCAAACUCUGUGCCAGCAGCCGCGGUAAUACAGAGGGUGCGAGCGUUAAUCGGAUUUACUGGGCGUAAAGGGUGCGUAGGCGGUUCUAUGAGUGUGAUGUGAAAGCCCUGGGCUCAACCUAGGAAGUGCAUCGCAAACGAUAGAACUGGAGUAUGUGAGAGGGUGGCGGAAUUUCCGGUGUAGCGGUGAAAUGCGUAGAUAUCGGAAGGAACGUCGAUGGCGAAGGCAGCCACCUGGCACAAUACUGACGCUGAGGCACGAAAGCGUGGGGAUCAAACA
RNAcentral lists this ribosomal RNA (427 nucleotides) under uncultured Aquicella sp. RNAcentral's name for it is "partial 16S ribosomal RNA". It matches the Rfam family "Bacterial small subunit ribosomal RNA", at positions 355 to 774 of the family's 1533-position model. The record is from RNAcentral. Lineage: Bacteria; Pseudomonadati; Pseudomonadota; Gammaproteobacteria; Legionellales; Coxiellaceae.